GAUGAACGCUGGCGGCGUGCCUAAUACAUGCAAGUCGAGCGAACAGACGAGGAGCUUGCUCCUCUGACGUUAGCGGCGGACGGGUGAGUAACACGUGGAUAACCUACCUAUAAGACUGGGAUAACUUCGGGAAACCGGAGCUAAUACCGGAUAAUAUAUUGAACCGCAUGGUUCAAUAGUGGAAGACGGUUUUGCUGUCACUUAUAGAUGGAUCCGCGCCGCAUUAGCUAGUUGGUAAGGUAACGGCUUACCAAGGCAACGAUGCGUAGCCGACCUGAGAGGGUGAUCGGCCACACUGGAACUGAGACACGGUCCAGACUCCUACGGGAGGCAGCAGUAGGGAAUCUUCCGCAAUGGGCGAAAGCCUGACGGAGCAACGCCGCGUGAGUGAUGAAGGUCUUCGGAUCGUAAAACCCUGUUAUUAGGGAAGAACAAAUGUGUAAGUAACUAUGCACGUCUUGACGGUACCUAAUCAGAAAGCCACGGCUAACUACGU
RNAcentral lists this ribosomal RNA (496 nucleotides) under uncultured bacterium. Its description in RNAcentral is "partial 16S ribosomal RNA". It matches the Rfam family "Bacterial small subunit ribosomal RNA", at positions 28 to 506 of the family's 1533-position model. The record is from RNAcentral.